RNAcentral lists this long non-coding RNA (249 nucleotides) under Elaeis guineensis (African oil palm). Its description in RNAcentral is "long non-coding RNA (EGUI_LNC053393)". The record is from RNAcentral. Lineage: Eukaryota; Viridiplantae; Streptophyta; Magnoliopsida; Arecales; Arecaceae.
UGUGAUGCAAUAAUUUAAAUCUUUAGUGAGUUGAUGAAUGGAGAUUAGAUUAGUGGAUAAUUUUGAAAUAUAUAACACAUUUUUUUAAAUGAAAGGAAGGAGCGAAAAAAAUUUGGCCUUCGCUGGCUAUGGUAAUAGAGAAACCAUCGGCCAUGAUAAUUGUUUGAUUUCCUUGGUAUGGUUUGUAGGUCUCAAAUCGAGAUGGGCUAUGGGUCAUAUGAUCUGUUGCUCUCGAGUCAAGUACCCAGA